CAACGAAUAUUCCGCAAUGGACGAAAGUCUGACGGAGCGACGCCGCGUGCAGGAUGAAGUCCUUCGGGAUGUAAACUGCUGUCAGGGGUGAGGAAUAAGUUGACCAACCCCAGAGGAAGCAUCGGCUAACUCCGUGCCAGCAGCCGCGGUAAAACGGAGGGUGCAAGCGUUGUUCGGAAUUACUGGGCGUAAAGCGCGUGCAGGUGGUUUUCAAGUUUCGUGUGAAAGCCCACGGCUCAACCGUGGAACGGCACGGAAAACUGGAAGACUUGAAUACGGGAGAAGAGGGCGGAAUUCCCAGUGUAGAGGUGAAAUUCGUAGAUAUUGGGAGGAACACCGGUGGCGAAAGCGGCUCUCUAGACCGAUAUUGACGCUCAUACGCGAGAGCGUGGGUAGCAAACAGGAUUAGAUACCCUCGUAGUCCCUGAGCGGGCUGGCAAGGCGCAU
This 447-nucleotide ribosomal RNA is filed under the name uncultured bacterium. RNAcentral describes it as "bacterial SSU rRNA". It matches the Rfam family "Bacterial small subunit ribosomal RNA", at positions 355 to 825 of the family's 1533-position model. The record is from RNAcentral.